This 505-nucleotide ribosomal RNA is filed under the name Sympetrum eroticum. Its description in RNAcentral is "partial 16S rRNA". It matches the Rfam family "Bacterial large subunit ribosomal RNA", at positions 1818 to 2597 of the family's 2925-position model. The record is from RNAcentral. Lineage: Eukaryota; Metazoa; Arthropoda; Insecta; Odonata; Libellulidae.
GGCCUUUAGAAUUUAAUUUAAGGUCUGACCUGCCCAGUGAUGAAUUUAACGGCCGCGGUAUAUUGACCGUGCAAAGGUAGCAUAAUCAUUAGUCUUUUAAUAGAGGGCUGGAAUGAACGGUUUAACGAGGAAUUGACUGUCUCAUUUUAUUUGUUUUAAAAUUUAAUUUUUUAGUUAAAAAGCUAAAAUAAUAUUGGAAGACGAGAAGACCCUAUAGAUCUUUAUAUAAUUUUUUGUAUUUAUUUACAUAUUAACAUAAUUGUAGCAAAAUUAUAUUUUGUUGGGGUGACAAAAAUAUAUAAUUAACUUUUUCAUUUAUUUACCAUUGAUGUAUGAUUUUUAGAUCCAUUUUUAGUGAUUGCUAGAGUAAGUUACCUUAGGGAUAACAGCGUAAUCCUCCUCCAGAGUUCAUAUUUACAGGAGGGCUUGCGACCUCGAUGUUGGAUUAAGAUAAUAAUUAGGUGUAGCCGCUUAAUUUAUAGGUCUGUUCGACCUUUAAAUUCUU